Molecule: long non-coding RNA, 518 nt
Filed under: Physcomitrium patens
Lineage: Eukaryota; Viridiplantae; Streptophyta; Bryopsida; Funariales; Funariaceae
Description: long non-coding RNA (PPAT_LNC013044)
Source: RNAcentral
AGAAAAGAAUGUGAAAGAGAAAGUGUGUAUAAGAGAAGAGUAUGUCAGAGAAGAAAAGAAAGUGUGCAAGAAAAGAAUGUGUAAGAAAAAAAAAAAGAGAGAAUAUACAAGAGAAGAGUAUAAGACAAAGAGAAAAAGAAAGAGAAAGAGAUUGUAUAUGCAAGAAAAAAAAGAUUUUACAAGAAAAGAAUGUGAAAAAAAGAAUAUAUGCAAGAGAAGAGUGUGAAAGAGAAAGAAAGAAAUUAUAUAAAAAAAAAUAUAUGCAAAAAAUAAGUGUCUGAGAAAAAAAAAUGUACAAGAGAGGAGUAUGAGAGAGAGAGAGAAAGAAUGUGUGUGCAAUAAAAGAAAGAGGGAUUGUAUGGGAAAAAAAAAAAAAAAAAAAAAAAAAAAACUAUUUGAAAGGAGUGUGAGAGAGAAAGUGGUUGCAAUUGAAUAUUAUAAGAGAGAAAGAAAGCGAAUUUGAAAGAGAAAGAAAGAUUGUAAAAAUGUACAAGAAAGGAGUUUGAGAUUGUAAAGAG